GUGUUUGUAGUCCAACGGUUAGGCUAAUUGCCUUCUGAGCAAUAGACCUGGGUUCGACUCCGGUAAGCGUA
Molecule: transfer RNA, 71 nt
Filed under: Nicotiana sylvestris (wood tobacco)
Lineage: Eukaryota; Viridiplantae; Streptophyta; Magnoliopsida; Solanales; Solanaceae
Also listed under: 1 other name
Rfam family: tRNA
About the family: Transfer RNA (tRNA) molecules are approximately 80 nucleotides in length.
Source: Rfam by way of RNAcentral